GCUGGGGGAUUAGUGGCGAACGGGUGAGUAACACGUGAGUAACCUGCCCUUGACUCUGGGAUAAGCCUGGGAAACUGGGUCUAAUACCGGAUACGACCAUCUGGCGCAUGUCAUGGUGGUGGAAAGCUUUUGUGGUUUUGGAUGGACUCGCGGCCUAUCAGCUUGUUGGUGGGGUAAUGGCCUACCAAGGCGACGACGGGUAGCCGGCCUGAGAGGGUGACCGGCCACACUGGGACUGAGACACGGCCCAGACUCCUACGGGAGGCAGCAGUGGGGAAUAUUGCACAAUGGGCGCAAGCCUGAUGCAGCGACGCCGCGUGAGGGAUGACGGCCUUCGGGUUGUAAACCUCUUUCAGUAGGGAAGAAGCCGUAAGGUGACGGUACCUGCAGAAGAAGCGCCGGCUAACUACGUGCCAGCAGCCGCGGUAAUACGUAGGGCGCAAGCGUUAUCCGGAAUUAUUGGGCGUAAAGAGCUCGUAGGCGGUUUGUCGCGUCUGCUGUGAAAGACCGGGGCUCAACUCCGGUUCUGCAGUGGGUACGGGCAGACUAGAGUGCAGUAGGGGAGACUGGAAUUCCUGGUGUAGCGGUGAAAUGCGCAGAUAUCAGGAGGAACACCGAUGGCGAAGGCAGGUCUCUGGGCUGUAACUGACGCUGAGGAGCGAAAGC
Molecule: ribosomal RNA, 666 nt
Filed under: Paenarthrobacter nitroguajacolicus
Lineage: Bacteria; Bacillati; Actinomycetota; Actinomycetes; Micrococcales; Micrococcaceae
Also listed under: 1 other name
Description: bacterial SSU rRNA
Rfam family: Bacterial small subunit ribosomal RNA
Source: RNAcentral